GCUCUUGAUUGUGCACAGGUGAAGUAAAUGAACAGGACUCCCUAAAGGACAGAAGCACACAGCCAGUGAGCAAGCCGCUCAGACACACAGCGCUCAGAUGGCAGCCUGCUCCUAGGACGCACCAGGCCUGUAUCCCACGACUGCCUCUGAACACUCCAAACAAUGAACUAAAGAACUGACCUGAACCCCAUCCUACACGGAGAAGGGAACCUGUGUAGAGAAAGCGAUUCAAUGGAGAGCUAGUAAGGAGAAGAGGCCUUACUAAAAGUGGAGGAACUGACACCACGUUGGACUCGACUACACAGGCUACAUUUGGAUGAAUAUUGACUGUUGGAAAAUAAGAAAUGUUGAUUGAUGGAUUUUACCCAAUCGGUUUUUGGGAUGGAAUUUCUAUUUUUGAGGAGACUUUAUUUUUUUUUAAUAAUAUUUUUGACACUUCCUAACUUUUUCCAAAUAAAGUAUUAUUAAUUGUGGAAC
This is a long non-coding RNA of Oncorhynchus nerka (sockeye salmon), 477 nucleotides long. RefSeq lists it as uncharacterized. The record is from RefSeq and is a predicted model, not a curated record. The transcript has 2 exons. Lineage: Eukaryota; Metazoa; Chordata; Actinopteri; Salmoniformes; Salmonidae.